GAUGAACGCUGGCGGCGUGCUUAACACAUGCAAGUCGAACGGAAAGGCCCCUUUUUGCGGGUGUACUCGAGUCGCAAACGGGUGUGUCACGUGUGUGUGCUCUGCUUAGCACUUCGGUAUCAGCCUGGGAAACUGGCUCUAAUACCGGAUAGGCCGCUGGUUUGGAUGCCAGUUUGGAAAGUUUUUUCGGUGGGGGAUGAGCUCGCGGCCUAUCAGCUUGUUGGUGGGGUAGUGGCUUACCAAGGCGUCGACGGGUAGCCGGCCUGAGAGGGUGUACGGCCACAUUGGGACUGAGAUACGGCCCAGACUCCUACGGGAGGCAGCAGUGGGGAAUAUUGCACAAUGGGCGCAAGCCUGAUGCAGCGACGCCGCGUGGGGGAUGACGGCCUUCGGGUUGUAAACUCCUUUCGCUAGGGACGAAGCGCAAGUGACGGUACCUGGAGAAGAAGCACCGGCUAACUACGUG
RNAcentral lists this ribosomal RNA (466 nucleotides) under uncultured bacterium. RNAcentral's name for it is "partial 16S ribosomal RNA". It matches the Rfam family "Bacterial small subunit ribosomal RNA", at positions 28 to 507 of the family's 1533-position model. The record is from RNAcentral.